AACAAAGAAGUAAAAUAUACAUUUAGUUUCGACCUAAAAAUAAGAAGUAAUUUCUCAUGUUU
RNAcentral lists this transfer RNA (62 nucleotides) under Agnesiella rita. RNAcentral's name for it is "tRNA-Arg". Lineage: Eukaryota; Metazoa; Arthropoda; Insecta; Hemiptera; Cicadellidae. The record is from RNAcentral.